This 253-nucleotide ribosomal RNA is filed under the name uncultured bacterium. RNAcentral's name for it is "partial 16S ribosomal RNA". It matches the Rfam family "Bacterial small subunit ribosomal RNA", at positions 524 to 776 of the family's 1533-position model. The record is from RNAcentral.
UACGUAGGGGGCAAGCGUUAUCCGGAAUUACUGGGUGUAAAGGGAGCGUAGACGGUAAUGUAAGUCUGGAGUGAAAGGCGGGGGCCCAACCCCCGGACUGCUCUGGAAACUAUGUUACUAGAGUGCAGGAGAGGCAAGCGGAAUUCCUAGUGUAGCGGUGAAAUGCGUAGAUAUUAGGAGGAACACCAGUGGCGAAGGCGGCUUACUGGACUGUAACUGACGUUGAGGCUCGAAAGCGUGGGGAGCAAACAGG